RNAcentral lists this small RNA (62 nucleotides) under Saccharolobus islandicus HVE10/4. Its description in RNAcentral is "Sulfolobus islandicus HVE10/4 non-coding RNA". Lineage: Archaea; Thermoproteati; Thermoproteota; Thermoprotei; Sulfolobales; Sulfolobaceae. RNAcentral also lists the same sequence under 1 other name. The record is from RNAcentral.
ACUUGAGAGGUGAAGAGUGGUCUCAGGGCUGAUUUGGUGAUGGUCUAUUAAAAAUUCAAAAU